ACAGCCCAGCGCAUAACCUCCCGGGCUACCAAGCCUGCGGCGGGAUGUUGCGUUAAGGGAAAGGUCGUAUCUAAGCCCCGCACUACAUAGCCUAAGUUUGGCUUGAAUAUCCACUGUACUCCUAACGGAUGCAACGGUUCCACAGAGGGUGCCAGACCCGUGUGGCUGUGUGGUUAAAUGUGCGCGGGUUCGGCUUCUAUUCCCUGAGAGUCGCGUUGCUUGAGAAUGCAGCGCUAAGCAGGUCGUAAACUCGACCUAAGGCUAAAUAUUUUCACAGAACCGAUAGCGAACAAGUACCGUGAGGGAAAGUUGAAAAGCACUCUGAAGAGAGAGUCAAAAGAUCGUGAAACCGUUCAGAGUAUAGGCCAAUGGUAUACUGGAAAUGUCUGGAGCAGCCCUUCCCCAUUGGGGAGGAGGGUAUCGUGUGUGGUACAAUAAGGUCGGGAGGGGAAAAAAGUGGCCUUAAGUGGAUAUCACGCCGAAUUGAACCUUGCGGGCUACUGACGCUGAGUACAGGGAAGGUUCUAAUGAGGAUCCGACCCGAGGGUGGGCUUUGUGCAAGCACCGGCUGGAAGCCACACUAUAACGAGUUGCCUUAAUACAGUUCACCACAAUCCUUUACAAGGUCUCACUUACGCUGGCAUGAACAAAGUAUGAAGAGACGUGGGCGUUUGCUCCACCUCGCUGUUAUGUUUACGUUUUGACUGAGCUGUGGAGUCGGCAUUCGAACUAUGCUCCUGUCUAAUAUGUAAGUCGAAUGAUCCUAAGUGAAGAUUGUCUCUGGCCGACCAGCCGCUCUUUACGCAAUUCGAGUACGCCCGAACGUUCACUCUCGCGUACGGCUCGUGUAGGCUUUUCCGUGAGCGCGUCUGGUCGCUUUGGUGGCUAAUUCCAGAACCAUUGGUCACGUCUCGAAACACGGGCCAAGGAGCAUAGCAUGUGCGCAAGUCUAAGGGAUAAGAAAUCCUGGAGGCGAAGUGAAAGCAAAUGGUGUGAUGGCGUGUCAAGCGUCGUCAGCUUGUGCUCACUGAUUUGGGUGUCGUCCGCGUUUUUGGAUGAAUGCACCUCCGGCUGUACUUGGGUUGAUCCGUCGUAAUAAAGCCGUACUGGCGAUACGAUGGCGCAAACCUCAAACUCUCGAUGUGACGGGCUCAGCAAGUCCUCCGAGGGCAUUGGAGAGCGUGCAUGCUAUAACCCGAAAGAUAGUGAACUAUGCCUGGCGA
RNAcentral lists this ribosomal RNA (1223 nucleotides) under Astyra abyssi. RNAcentral's name for it is "partial 28S ribosomal RNA". It matches the Rfam family "Eukaryotic large subunit ribosomal RNA", at positions 104 to 843 of the family's 3401-position model. Lineage: Eukaryota; Metazoa; Arthropoda; Malacostraca; Amphipoda; Stilipedidae. The record is from RNAcentral.